UGUUAUGGCAGGCUGUGCGCGGGAGGCAUUCGUGCCUGCCGGGUUCCUUUACUCCCGGUUGACCAACCUGCGCACAGUUCGCCACCAAU
RNAcentral lists this non-coding RNA (89 nucleotides) under Azomonas agilis. The record is from RNAcentral. Lineage: Bacteria; Pseudomonadati; Pseudomonadota; Gammaproteobacteria; Pseudomonadales; Pseudomonadaceae.